CUUGAGUCUAAGUGAAGGUGCGCGAGCUGCUCAAGCUACAGCAUAACGUGGAAACUGUGAAGGUGGAAUGGAAAUGUGUUUUAAGGUGGAAUUAAAAUUAAAAGCUUCAUACACUGCAGGAAAAUUAGUGAGAAGUGCAGUGUUGAGUCACCUGGUAAAAGGAGGGUUCAGUAAACCAGUGCUUCCACUGCAGCAGAGUCCUGGAGCCGGAGCCGGAGCUGAAGUCAGGCAGCAGGGGGUGGCGUUCCCCCGUCUCGUCCCGCAGCGGCACUCUCUCCUGAGUUCCCAUGUGGAAGAUGAGUGUGAAGAUAGCACCAACACCCAACACGAUCAGCGCCAGAUCCUGAAAAAUCAGAGUUAAAUUCACCACUGAUUCAGAACUCAUCAUUACUCACCACUGUAUAUUAAGUAUAUAAUGUAUAUGUAUAUAAAUAUAAUCCAGUCAAAGACAGGUGUGGUCCCUGGGGUUGUUUGAAGGUAAUAUUAAAUAAUAGUAUAGAUAUAGUGUAGAAUUGUAUUGUACAUUGUAGAACAGUACAGUAUAGCUUAUGGUAGCAUAGUAUUGUAUAGCAUACCAUUGCUGUCCAAUUAAAGACAAGUAAUUAAUUUUUUGUAGAUUUUGUUUUAUUGUAGAAAUAAAAAAUAAUAAUUUUAACAUAAAA
Long non-coding RNA from Astyanax mexicanus (Mexican tetra), 662 nucleotides. RefSeq lists it as uncharacterized. Lineage: Eukaryota; Metazoa; Chordata; Actinopteri; Characiformes; Acestrorhamphidae. The transcript has 3 exons. The record is from RefSeq and is a predicted model, not a curated record.